RNAcentral lists this ribosomal RNA (356 nucleotides) under uncultured Glomeraceae. RNAcentral's name for it is "SSU rRNA". It matches the Rfam family "Eukaryotic small subunit ribosomal RNA", at positions 569 to 929 of the family's 1831-position model. Lineage: Eukaryota; Fungi; Glomeromycota; Glomeromycetes; Glomerales; Glomeraceae. The record is from RNAcentral.
AGCAGCCGCGGUAAUUCCAGCUCCAAUAGCGUAUAUUAAAGUUGUUGCAGUUAAAAAGCUCGUAGUUGAAUUUCGGGAUCAUCAGGUUGGUUGUGCCUCUGGUAUGUACUUUCCUCGAUGGUUCCUCCUUCUUGAAGAACCGUAAUGCCAUUAAUUUGGUGUUGCGGGGAAACAGGACUGUUACUUUGAAAAAAUUAGAGUGUUUAAAGCAGGCAAUCGCUUGAAUACAUUAGCAUGGAAUAAUGAAAUAGGACGUUCGAUCCUAUUUUGUUGGUUUCUAGGAUUGACGUAAUGAUUAAUAGGGAUAGUUGGGGGCAUUAGUAUUCAAUUGUCAGAGGUGAAAUUCUUGGAUUUAU